GAGUUUGAUCGUGGCUCAGAUUGAACGCUGGCGGCAGGCCUAACACAUGCAAGUCGAGCGGAUGAAGGGAGCUUGCUCCUGGAUUCAGCGGCGGACGGGUGAGUAAUGCCUAGGAAUCUGCCUGGUAGUGGGGAUAACGUCCGGAAACGGGCGCUAAUACCGCAUACGUCCUGAGGGGAGAAAGUGGGGGAUCUUCGGACCUCACGCUAUCAGAUGAGCCUAGGUCGGAUUAGCUAGUUGGUGGGGUAAAGGCCUACCAAGGCGACGAUCCGUAACUGGUCUGAGAGGAUGAUCAGUCACACUGGAACUGAGACACGGUCCAGACUCCUACGGGAGGCAGCAGUGGGGAAUAUUGGACAAUGGGCGAAAGCCUGAUCCAGCCAUGCCGCGUGUGUGAAGAAGGUCUUCGGAUUGUAAAGCACUUUAAGUUGGGUAGGAAGGGCAGUAAGUUAAUACCUUGCUGUUUUGACGUUACCAACAGAAUAAGCACCGGCUAACUUCGUGCCAGCAGCCGCGGU
Molecule: ribosomal RNA, 518 nt
Filed under: uncultured microorganism
Description: bacterial SSU rRNA
Rfam family: Bacterial small subunit ribosomal RNA
Source: RNAcentral